CGGGCCCUGAUGAAGAGAAGGCUGGGUCCCCUUUGAAGAGCGCAUCCCCACUGGCUGCUACCCCAUUGCUUACAGAAAUAGACUACUGAAACGGGAUCAGAGGUUGCCAGAUAAAAGCUGUUUUUGGUAUCCUCGCCCUCUGUGAAGCCAGUGGCAGUGGAAAAUUCCCCAUUUUCAGCCACAGCACCUGUUUUCCCAUGGGACACGGGCAGCAAGGGCCUGUUGUGGCCAGAGCGGUUCUGGGCAGCCCAACUUCAGAUGCCCC
Molecule: long non-coding RNA, 265 nt
Organism: Nothoprocta perdicaria
Lineage: Eukaryota; Metazoa; Chordata; Aves; Tinamiformes; Tinamidae
Exons: 2
Source: RefSeq, a predicted model, not a curated record